Molecule: ribosomal RNA, 503 nt
Filed under: Helcyra superba
Lineage: Eukaryota; Metazoa; Arthropoda; Insecta; Lepidoptera; Nymphalidae
Description: partial 16S ribosomal RNA
Rfam family: Bacterial large subunit ribosomal RNA (bases 375-503)
Source: RNAcentral
AAUUUAAAGUUAAUAAAGACCCUGAUAGAAUAAAUUAAAGGGCUGCAGUAUAUUGACUGUACAAAGGUAGCAUAAUCAUUAGUCUUUUAAUUGAAGACUUGUAUGAAAGAUUUGAUGAAAUAUAAACUGUCUCUAAUUUAUUAAUAGAAUUUAAUUUUUUAGUUAAAAAGCUAAAAUAAUAUUAAAAGACGAGAAGACCCUAUAGAGUUUUAUACUUAUUUUAAAUAUAAUAAAAUAUAUAAUUAAUUAUUAAAUUUAAAAUAAGUAUUAUAUUGGGGUGAUAAAAAAAUUAAAAAAACUUUUUUUAAAAUAAAAACAUAAAUAAAUGAAUUUAUGAUCCAUAAUUAAUGAUUAAAAGAAAAAAUUACCUUAGGGAUAACAGCGUAAUAUUUUUUUUUAGUACAAAUAAAAAAAAAAGUUUGCGACCUCGAUGUUGGAUUAAGAUAAAAUUUAAAUGCAAAAGUUUAAAAUUUUGAUCUGUUCGAUCAUUAAAAUCUUACAUG